UUGAGACCAUAUAUCAGGCACUGAAAAAAGGUUGGAAUGAAUUACGGCACUGUGGAGUUAACCUCAGAGAAGUUUCCAUCAGCCUCAGGUUUCACUUAAAAAUGCCUUAAACGCACGAAUUGAUUUCACUACACAUUACCUGAAGUCAUUUUGUUUUUUGGUAUUGCGACUUUUCCUCUUGUCUUCUUGGGUCUCCAGCCUAAACGAGAACUAUUUCCAUUUCUUUCAUCUUGGUCUGAAAAGGCAUCUAUUUGGAAGCCAAUGGAAAAGGUUGCAGAUGAGCCAGCAGGGAGUUUGAACAAAGUGAUUCAUGGUUUGCAAAGUCACAGCAAACUACGGAGAGCUUGUGAGGUGCUCCAGAAACUGACGGCCUUUAUGCCAGAAUUUUCUAAGUCAGCUCAAGUAAGCAAGAGGGUGAUCGGGAGGAAACGAGAUAUGAGAAAGGGGGAAGUGAAACAGACAAAAUGUGUAUAAAGUAGAAAAUACGUAAUCUAGAGAUUGUGCCCUGUGCAGAAUUUAGCCUUGUGAACCAUUUUGUAGAGACUCAAUUUAACAUUCAGUCAGGGUAUAUUUACCUUUAAGUCUGAAGAUUGCGGAUAAAUUGAUCAGUAAUGACCUUUUCAGAUAUGCUGUGUUUAUUUUCUUUUGAUCAUUUAUCAAGUUACUGUCUUUCUGAUACAUUUGUUAGACAUAAUGGGAGACAGAAAUAGAUCCACUCCUUGCCCGAGAUAGAGCAGUUCAGCUUCGAAACGGACAUGGGCCAUCAGUGCCCCCGCAAUGUUUACAUUUGUUCCCUCCACAUUUGCCAAGUUACUCCCAGUAAUUAUUCAUGCUUGUCUCUACUCCCUACACGUAAAUAAAUUAAGGGAAUGAGAUUCAUGAGAAUUUUCAUUUUUUUUCUUUUCCAUGUCCUAUAUUUUCAGAUAUCUGUGAUAAGCAUAUAUAUACAAUCUGUGCUGGUUUAUUUGGGCUGGUUUAUUUUUAAUUACGGCAAUAAUACAUGCUUGUUAUUUAAAAAUCUGAAUUAAAGCAUAUAAAGUUAUAAAGCAA
RNAcentral lists this long non-coding RNA (1050 nucleotides) under Lynx canadensis (Canada lynx). RNAcentral's name for it is "lncRNA (ENSLCNG00005015683.1)". The record is from RNAcentral. Lineage: Eukaryota; Metazoa; Chordata; Mammalia; Carnivora; Felidae.